GGCAGAGUCAAAAUACUGAUCACAAAUUCUAGAAAAAAGAGAACAUAUAAAUAUAUAUAUCGCUAGAUGUCAUGUCCAUAUAGCAGAAACCCUUUCAAACAUAUACUAGUUUAGCCAGAUAGCAAAUUCUAGAAAAACGAGAAUAUAUAAAUAUAUAUCGCUAGAUGUCAUGCCCAUAUAGCAGAAACCCUUUCAAACAUAUACUAGUUUAGCCAG
Molecule: unclassified non-coding RNA, 216 nt
Filed under: Hevea brasiliensis (rubber tree)
Lineage: Eukaryota; Viridiplantae; Streptophyta; Magnoliopsida; Malpighiales; Euphorbiaceae
Source: RNAcentral